RNAcentral lists this ribosomal RNA (254 nucleotides) under uncultured bacterium. Its description in RNAcentral is "partial 16S ribosomal RNA". It matches the Rfam family "Bacterial small subunit ribosomal RNA", at positions 524 to 776 of the family's 1533-position model. The record is from RNAcentral.
UACGGGGGGAGCAAGCGUUGUUCGGAUUUACUGGGCGUAAAGGGCGCGUAGGCGGCCAGCACAAGUCAGUUGUGAAAUCUCCGAGCUUAACUCGGAAAGGUUAACUGAUACUGUGCGGCUAGAGUGCAGAAGGGGCAACUGGAAUUCUUGGUGUAGCGGUGAAAUGCGUAGAUAUCAAGAGGAACACCUGCGGCGAAGGCGGGUUGCUGGGCUGACACUGACGCUGAGGCGCGAAAGCUAGGGGAGCGAACAGG